Molecule: ribosomal RNA, 460 nt
Filed under: uncultured bacterium
Lineage: Bacteria
Description: partial 16S ribosomal RNA
Rfam family: Bacterial small subunit ribosomal RNA
Source: RNAcentral
CCUACGGGUAGCAGCAGAGAGGAAUAUUGGUCAAUGGACGAGAGUCUGAACCAGCCAAGUAGCGUGAAGGAUGACUGCCCUAUGGGUUGUAAACUUCUUUUAUAUGGGAAUAAAAUGUUCCACGUGUGGGAUUUUGUAUGUACCAUAUGAAUAAGGAUCGGCUAACUCCGUGCCAGCAGCCGCGGUAAUACGGAGGAUUCGAGCGUUAUCCGGAUUUAUUGGGUUUAAAGGGAGCGUAGGUGGAUUGUUAAGUCAGUUGUGAAAGUUUGCGGCUCAACCGUAAAAUUGCAGUUGAAACUGGCAGUCUUGAGUACAGUAGAGGUGGGCGGAAUUCGUGGUGUAGCGGUGAAAUGCUUAGAUAUCACGAAGAACUCCGAUUGCGAAGGCAGUUCACUGGACUGCAACUGACACUGAGGCUCGAAAGUGUGGGUAUCAAACAGGAUUAGAUACCCCAGUAGUC